CUGUGAUUUUUGUUCCUAAUGUGAUCGUCGUGAAAUUUUGCGAUGUGAAACUGAAAUAUCGAUUCAGAUUACCAUGUGUGACUUGUUUAUGAAAUUCAUUCGUUCCUGUCACAUGAUCGGUUGAUUUGUCAUAGCCACAAUCCCAGAUGCCUGAUCGAGGCUACCUGUUGUGAAAAUGACGUAUUUCUUCUCAUAUGUUGCGUUCGUGUAACAGUUUCAACUCAAGACUACCAAUUUGUGAGUAAAAGUGACACGAGUGCGUUCGCUGCUGUCCGUUCGAGUACAACACGAAAAAGUCGAGGCUAGGGGCCUAGAUGAGUUCUUCAAAUUUGUCUUCAACAUUCUUCCAGGGUGUUGUGAAAUAUAUUUAUUUGUUUUUAUUUUGCACUUUUUCGUGGAGCAGGCAGACAUUAAAUUAUAAAAAGCAUCAUAUUUUUGGAUGUAAAAUUUCACAUACAGAAUGUUUCAUUAAAAUUGUGGAAUGCCCCAUUUAGAAACGGAUGGUUCACCUGUAUAAUUGUUAAUGAAUUAACAAUGAUAGAAGUCGACGCACACAGAGACGGUUGCUCGGUGAACGGCGAGAUUCUUUGUAUCAGAAAUACACAUUUUUAGUCCAUUCUAUCAAUAAGUCUUUACUCCCUUAAGUUGGAUUGAAACAAUCAGAUAAUGGAGAUCACUAUGAGAAAUUUCGAAUAACGGUGUAACGGCAGAUGUCUUUCUCUCCUUUUCUUUUACUCCCUACUUGGUCGGAGAACGAUGCUUGAAACUUGUUCUAUCCUUCGAGAAGCUUGAGAGCGACUUUUAGACACGGCUGAUCCACUCGAUGGCUUGGGAAUUACCUCUUCCUUUUUACUCAGGGUAUUGUCAAUCUCCUCUGUGGACGGGUAGCCACUGGUUGUUCGGGACGGGAGACUAGUGUUCUGUUUGUCGAUCCUUGGGAAUCACAUCCAAAGAGCAGUGACUGCCAGUUCUAUCGCUUGUUCUCCCCCCUUUUCUUUCUUGAAAACAUGAACCAUGUGGGUUUUUUGUCCCUUUAUUUUUGUUGUAUCUUUUAUUAUUCGCUUUUUCUCUAUUGGCGUGCGAUUGAUCCCCUCGGUCUUUGCAAUUUUCAUUUAUUUAUCUUACUCCAUUUAAGGAGGACGGAGAACCUCGGAACGGUUGAAAUAACAACCACAUGGUCAUUUGUCGUCCGAAAGUGUUAUUUACAAAUACGUUCGGAGUGACAUUUUACAGAUGUCCUAAAUGCCGUUUCUAAACAUUCUUUGUUGAAUCAAAGAGACCCAUUAGAGUAAGCAUUAAUUUAAUUGGUUUAUGAAUCUAUAAAAUUAACUAAAUUGACCUGUUAAGACAGGGCGAUAUUUUCCUUAUCUUUCAACGCGUAUAGAAUUGUUUUAUACGAAUCGCU
RNAcentral lists this long non-coding RNA (1405 nucleotides) under Androctonus crassicauda. The record is from RNAcentral. Lineage: Eukaryota; Metazoa; Arthropoda; Arachnida; Scorpiones; Buthidae.